RNAcentral lists this ribosomal RNA (133 nucleotides) under uncultured bacterium. RNAcentral describes it as "partial 16S ribosomal RNA". It matches the Rfam family "Bacterial small subunit ribosomal RNA", at positions 357 to 493 of the family's 1533-position model. The record is from RNAcentral.
GGGAAUUUUGCGCAAUGGGGGAAACCCUGACGCAGCAACGCCGCGUGAAGGAUGAAGGCCUUUGGGUCGUAAACUUCUGUCAGUGGGGAAGAAAUGCCAGCAAUGGUGAUGACGGUACCCGCAAAGGAAGCAC